This 698-nucleotide ribosomal RNA is filed under the name uncultured bacterium. RNAcentral's name for it is "bacterial SSU rRNA". It matches the Rfam family "Bacterial small subunit ribosomal RNA", at positions 97 to 796 of the family's 1533-position model. The record is from RNAcentral.
GGCGAACGGGUGAGUAACACGUGGGUAACCUGCCCUCAUCUCUGGGAUAACCGUUGGAAACGGCGGCUAAUACCGGAUACGACCUGGCUCCGCAUGGUGCUGGGUGGAAAGUUUUUGCGGUUGGGGAGGGGCCCGCGGCCUAUCAGCUUGUUGGUGCGGUAGUGGCGCACCAAGGCUUUGACGGGUAGCCGGCCUGAGAGGGCGGUCGGUCACAUUGGGACUGAGAUACGGCCCAGACUCCUACGGGAGGCAGCAGUGGGGAAUUUUGCACAAUGGGCGAAAGCCUGAUGCAGCGACGCCGCGUGAGGGAUGACGGCUUUCGGGUUGUAAACCUCUUUUAUCCACCACGAAGGCCCCGUAUUCGCGGGGUUGACGGUAGUGGUUGAAUAAGCGCCGGCUAACUACGUGCCAGCAGCCGCGGUAAGACGUAGGGCGCGAGCGUUGUCCGGAUUUAUUGGGCGUAGAGGGCUCGUAGGCGGUUGAUUGCGUCCGCCGUGAAAGGCCUCGGCUUAACCGGGGUUUUGCGGUGGAUACGGGUCGACUUGAGGCAAUUAGGGGAGAUCGGAAUUCUACGUGUAGCGGUGAAAUGCGCAGAUAUGUGGAGGAACACCGGUGGCGAAGGCGGAUCUCUGGGAUUGUUCUGACGCUGAGGAGCGAAAGCGUGGGGAGCGAACAGGAUUAGAUACCCUGGGUAGUCC